GCUCCAGACUCCUACGGGAGGCAGCAGUGAGGAAUAUUGGUCAAUGGCCGAGAGGCUGAACCAGCCAAGUCGCGUGAGGGAUGACGGCCCUACGGGUUGUAAACCUCUUUUGUCGGGGAGCAAAGAGAGUCACGUGUGGCUCAUUGAGAGUACCCGAAGAAAAAGCAUCGGCUAACUCCGUGCCAGCAGCCGCGGUAAUACGUAGGGGGCGAGCGUUAUCCGGAUUCACUGGGUGUAAAGGGAGCGUAGACGGCCAAGCAAGCCAGGGGUGAAAGCCCGGGGCCCAACCCCGGGACUGCCCUUGGAACUGCAUGGCUGGAGUGCGGGAGGGGCAGGCGGAAUUCCUGGUGUAGCGGUGAAAUGCGUAGAUAUCAGGAGGAACACCGGCGGCGAAGGCGGCCUGCUGGACCGCGACUGACGUUGAGGCUCGAAAGCGUGGGGAGCGAACAGGAUUAGAUACCCGUGUACA
Molecule: ribosomal RNA, 469 nt
Filed under: uncultured bacterium
Lineage: Bacteria
Description: bacterial SSU rRNA
Rfam family: Bacterial small subunit ribosomal RNA
Source: RNAcentral